This is an RNA transcript of Anoplopoma fimbria (sablefish), 2774 nucleotides long. It is a transcript of the gene named serine and arginine rich splicing factor 2b, with no coding region annotated. The transcript has 4 exons. NCBI's taxonomy places the organism in Eukaryota, Metazoa, Chordata, Actinopteri, Perciformes, Anoplopomatidae. The record is from RefSeq and is a predicted model, not a curated record.
AUCAAGGCCCGCCCACAUUGUAAAAGUAGAAGAAGAAGAAGAACGCGUCACUGGUUUGAGGCAGUCGGUGAGCGCGAGGUGAGCCGAGUUGUGCGGGAAGAAGUCGCGUAUUUUGCGGUUGUUGCUCAUCGAAAAUACCCCAGAAGCGAAGCAUAUCGAUUUAAAUCGCAACCACCGCGCCUGUGUGUGCGCGCGGACCUUUUGCCGAAACAGGUAGGCUCGCCCGUAGCCGAGAUAUAAACUGUUUAGAGGAAGGCUGCUAGGCCUCACGCGGCUCCGCCAUGAGUUACGGUAGGCCUCCGCCAGACGUCGACGGCAUGACUUCCCUCAAAGUGGACAACUUGACGUACAGGACGUCGCCCGAGACCCUGCGACGCGUGUUCGAGAAGUACGGCCGGGUAGGCGACGUCUACAUCCCCCGGGACCGCUACACCAAAGAGAGCCGCGGCUUCGCCUUCGUGCGUUUCCACGACAAGCGUGACGCCGAGGACGCGAUGGACGCCAUGGACGGCGCGCUGCUCGACGGACGGGAGCUGCGGGUCCAGAUGGCGCGCUACGGCAGACCGCCUGACUCCCACUACGGGGGCAGUGGAGGCGGCGGAGGAGGAGGAGGAGGCCGGGACCGUGAUGGUGGAGGUGGUGGUGGAGGAGGUGGAGGAGGAGGGAGCCGGCGAGGAGGGCCUACCAGGAGGUACGGCGGACACGGACAACGAAGCAGAAGCUCUUCCCCUAGCCCGAGACACAGAAGGCGCAGCCGGUCCCGCAGCAGGAGCCGCUCUCGGUCCCGUAGCCGGUCCCGCUACAGCAGAUCCAGGUCCCGGUCCUACUCCCGAUCCAAGUCUCACUCUCCCAGGAACAAGAAGGUCAAGGCCAAGUCCCCGUCUCGUUCUAGAUCCAGGUCCCGGUCCAAGUCCAAAUCAAAGUCCAAGUCCAAAUCCAAAUCAAAGUCUAGGUCCAGAAGCCACACCCCUUCCUCCAAAAGAGGGUCCAGGUCAAGAUCUAAAAGCCAGCCCAAGUCAGCAGCAGAGAAUGGAGGCGAAUCCCCGUAAAGCUCAGAAUCAGCUGCGGCAUCCUGUUUGCUAAAGUGGAGUUUGAGCUGAGCUGAGGCAGUAUGAGCAGUUAGCAGGGAUGUGGUGAGCUGCCCACAGGCCGCCUGCUGCUGGUGAGGGUUUCUGUGCAGCAGGGUGGAGGCAGUCAGAGUUGGGGUUUGGUGUUGAGGUACGUCUGUGUCUGCCACCGGACACGAAACGGUCCUCCACGUGGCGUCCCCGGUCGGGGGACGCUGGUGCUCGAGGAGCGCUGAGUUUUCAGGUGAAGACGAGAGCGUUGAGUCCUCGACUGGAUCCAACCUGAGCUACAGUGUCCUGCUGUAAAAGGUUAUUAUUGUGUCUUCCAUGAUUUGCUUUGUUUUAUUAAUUUGGCUGCAAAAAAAGUCUCUGUCACUUCAUUGAUGUGCUGUGAUUUUAUUUUCAUAAUGAUUUUAAAAUCUGGGUCAAUGUGGAGAGGAAUAACUGUAGUGAUGAUGGGAUUAUUCACAAAUUAAGUUUGUACCAGUUGCUCUUUUUUCUUUUUCUUUCCCCCCCCCCGUCCAGUUUCAGAUAACCAGUAUGUAGUCCUGCUCUCUUUUUAAAAACUCACAUUAAUCCUGGAUUAACUGAGGCACCAUUUGUAACCUGAUGACUCAGUCCAGCAAUGAGUGUUUUGAAAUGAGACAGAAUUCAUAAUUACUUAACAAUAACAUGAACAGAAACAAUGUGGAUGAUUUAAUUAUACUUUUGGGGAGGUUAAGUUUUUGUUGUGGCAAAAAGCAGUUUUAGUUAAAAGGUAAAAACAUACAGUUGGUAUAACUAUUACACAAAACAGACAGAUUGUACGAAUGUGUUAACUUUUCUAGAACUGCAGCUUUAUUUCUCCAUUUAAUUGUUUGGUCUUUAAAGUUGUUUUCUUUUCUCAGUCAAAUGAUCAAACAAUUCUCCAAAUAUGUACUGAUUUAUUGUCUUUCGAUUGCUAAUUGAUUAAAUGAUUUUCAGCUAUAAACAUUUUCCCUGAGGUCUCACUUUAUGGUAAUAACUGUCUUUCGUCCUUGUUGAGGUCCUGUGGAAAUGUUAUUUGAGCGUUAAACACGGUGAAACCUGAAAGCCGGAGUUAAGCUUAAAGUUAGCUGACUGACUAGUUAAUCUGGCUUUAUGGAAGCUCAGUCGGAACAAAACAUUUGAAGAAGCCAUGUCUUCACUAGAGAUAAACCAGCAAGACAUACCCCACACCAACUAUUAUACUUAUACACUCGAUUAUUGAUUUCAUAUCUGUGGAAACAUUUUAUUAAACUGAAGUAAUCGCCCAUAAAGCUCAAUACAUUUACUGGCCUCCUCCCAGUCCUAGAUUUCUGUCUCUCAAGCGUCUUUGUAGGACAUCAGAUCACUUAAACUCUGGUGAUCAUUUUUAGGGAAUCCGCUCAUCUCCUUUGAAUCUUACAGGACAACUUGAACUGGACUCUAGAUGCAGCGUUUUUUGUUUUUCUUUUUUUCUUUUUUGAUCCUAAUCCUGCUUGUGUGUUUGUUUUGUGCACUAGGCGCAGUUGUGUAGCAGUUGAGUUGUGCUGGUUAGCUGUUAAGGUGGCGUGUUGCUCUGCUGAGUGUUGGAUGUAUCCAGUAUUCUCCAGAGUGCUCCUGUGACUACCGGUGGUGCGGUCGCUACUCUCUCCCUUUGUGAGAAAUGUUUCCCCCAUGUGCUCAUGGAUGACAAAUGUGACUUUCAUUAAAGAUUUGGUGUUUUAU